Molecule: ribosomal RNA, 254 nt
Filed under: uncultured prokaryote
Description: partial 16S ribosomal RNA
Rfam family: Bacterial small subunit ribosomal RNA
Source: RNAcentral
GACGGAGGGCGCAAGCGUUGUUCGGAAUUACUGGGCGUAAAGGGCAGGUAGGUGGUCUGUUAAGUCUUCUGUGAAAAUCCGGGGCUCAACCCCGUGAAAUGCAGGUGAAACUGGCAGACUUGAGACCGGUAGAGGCUAGCGGAAUUCCUGGUGUAGCGGUGGAAUGCGUAGAUAUCAGGAAGAACACCUGUGGCGAAGGCGGCUAGCUGGGCCGGUUCUGACACUGAACUGCGAAAGCGUGGGGAGCAAACAGG